UCUCUGAUUUCCCCCUCUGACAACGGAAUGGACGACUAAUCUUCGAAAAUGACCGAGAGAUCUGGAGAAAUUGAUGGAACUGCUGCAACAUCCGAGUCUGGAUCCUAGAGCGAAGAAGUCUCUGGAUUUUCGGGAUCUCCUUCUGUUGAGUCUGAGGUAUAGUCCUCCUCAAUAUCAUCAUCGUCGUCAUCGUCUUCUCUAGGCGAAACAGGGCACGACGCCAAGGUCGACAUCGGGCACGAUGUCGAUGUCUGGUACGAUGUCGAGUUCGGUGUCAAGAAUAACUGCAACCGUCGACUCCGGAGCAGCGAAGCCUGUAGACACUGGCCUUGAUGCCGAGUGGUGUCGGUGUCGAGAAGUUGGUAUAGAAGGCACCGCCGUCUCCUGUCUAUUCUCCCUCGACGCUGAGUGGUCUCGAUGUCGAGACAGUGGAGUCAAUGGAGACUGGUGAGGUGUCAGCGCCGGGGAUAAGGAAGCCGCUCGCCAUCGAGGGUUGACAUAAUUCUGUAGUCCUGAAGGUGAGGGAGUGUGCUCCACAACCGGCUCUAACUGCUUCUGCUUCUUAGGAGGCGGCUCCUGCUUCAGAAGCUUUUCCCUGUGUUUCCUCUCGUGGCUUGAAUGGCUAUCCUCCGGUUGCUUAAAAGGGGCUGAUGCAGUCGAGGUAGAAGCAGUCGACGCCACAGCUUUCGAUGUCGUAGCCCUCGCUGCGGAAGCACUUGAUGUCGAGGCCCUCUCUGCCGAUUUUGAGGAACCAGCUUCCUUCGGGGUCUUAGACUGCCCUUUCGGAGCAGGACUCGGCACAGUACUCUCUGUAGCCAUCUUAGGCGCCAGAGACUCCUCAAGCAAAUACACCCUAAGGCGUGCUGCACGAUUCUUUAAAGUCUGCUUGCUAAAAGUAACACAGACCGAGCAGGAUUUUGUGUCAUGCCUCUCUCCUAAACAGAACAAGCAGAGGGCAUGGCCGUCUGUUGAGGGAAUCUUCCCGCAGCAGUUGGUGCACCGCUUAAAGGUUGUCUUGUCCCUCCCAGACUUCCCUGUGCCAUCUGUCU
Hemicordylus capensis (graceful crag lizard) is the source of this 1049-nucleotide long non-coding RNA. RefSeq lists it as uncharacterized. The transcript is spliced from 3 exons. Lineage: Eukaryota; Metazoa; Chordata; Lepidosauria; Squamata; Cordylidae. The record is from RefSeq and is a predicted model, not a curated record.